Molecule: ribosomal RNA, 373 nt
Filed under: uncultured organism
Description: partial 16S ribosomal RNA
Rfam family: Bacterial small subunit ribosomal RNA
Source: RNAcentral
GUAGGUGGCAAGCGUUGUCCGGAAUUAUUGGGCGUAAAGCGCGCGCAGGCGGGUUCUUUAAGUCUGAUGUGAAAGCCCACGGGCUCAACCGUGGAGGGUCGUUGGAAACUGGAGAACUUGAGUACAGAAGAGGAAAGCGGAAUUCCACGUGUAGCGGUGAAAUGCGUAGAGAUGUGGAGGAACACCAGUGGCGAAGGCGGCUUUCUGGUCUGUAACUGACGCUGAGGCGCGAAAGCGUGGGGAGCAAACAGGAUUAGAUACCCUGGUAGUCCACGCCGUAAACGAUGAGUGCUAAGUGUUAGGGGGUUUCCGCCCCUUAGUGCUGCAGCUAACGCAUUAAGCACUCCGCCUGGGGAGUACGGCCGCAAGGCUG